GCCCAGGUGGCGGAAUUGGUAGACGCGCUAGAUUCAGGUUCUAGUGGGCGAAAGCUCGUGGAAGUUCGAGUCUUCUCCUGGGCACCA
Molecule: transfer RNA, 87 nt
Filed under: Acetobacteraceae bacterium
Lineage: Bacteria; Pseudomonadati; Pseudomonadota; Alphaproteobacteria; Acetobacterales; Acetobacteraceae
Also listed under: 5 other names
Description: tRNA-Leu
Rfam family: tRNA
About the family: Transfer RNA (tRNA) molecules are approximately 80 nucleotides in length. Their secondary structure includes four short double-helical elements and three loops (D, anti-codon, and T loops).
Source: RNAcentral